Molecule: ribosomal RNA, 243 nt
Filed under: uncultured prokaryote
Description: partial 16S ribosomal RNA
Rfam family: Bacterial small subunit ribosomal RNA
Source: RNAcentral
UACGUAGGGACCAAGCGUUGUUCGGAUUUACUGGGCGUAAAGGGCGCGUAGGCGGCUUCGAUAGUCGGGUGUGAAAUGCCUGGGCUUAACCCAGGAACUGCACUCGAAACUCCGAGGCUCGAGUGUGGGAGAGGUUGGUGGAAUUCCCAGUGUAGAGGUGAAAUUCGUAGAUAUUGGGAAGAACACCGGUGGCGAAGGCGGCCAACUGGACCACAACUGACGCUGAGGCGCGAAAGCGUGGGG